RNAcentral lists this small nuclear RNA (107 nucleotides) under Ursus maritimus (polar bear). The record is from RNAcentral. Lineage: Eukaryota; Metazoa; Chordata; Mammalia; Carnivora; Ursidae.
GUGCUUGCUUCGGCAACACAUAUACUAAAAUUGGAACAAUACAGAGAAGAUUAACUUGGCCCCUGCAUAAGGAUGACAUGCAAAUUUGUGAAGCAUUCCAUUAAAUG